Molecule: ribosomal RNA, 305 nt
Filed under: uncultured bacterium
Lineage: Bacteria
Description: bacterial SSU rRNA
Rfam family: Bacterial small subunit ribosomal RNA
Source: RNAcentral
CCCUACGGGACGCAGCAGUAGGGAAUCUUCCACAAUGGGCGAAAGCCUGAUGGAGCAACGCCGCGUGGGUGAAGAAGGUCUUCGGACCGUAAAACCCUGUUGUUAGGGAAGAAAGUGCGCGAGAGUAACUGUUCACGUUUCGACGGUAUCUAACCAGAAAGCCACGGCUAACUACGUGCCAGCAGCCGCGGUAAUACGUAGGUGGCAAGCGUUAUCCGGAUUUAUUGGGCGUAAAGGGAACGCAGGCGGUCUUUUAAGUCUGAUGUGAAAGCCUUCGGCUUAACCGGAGUAGUGCAUUGGAAACU